RNAcentral lists this ribosomal RNA (253 nucleotides) under uncultured bacterium. Its description in RNAcentral is "partial 16S ribosomal RNA". It matches the Rfam family "Bacterial small subunit ribosomal RNA", at positions 524 to 776 of the family's 1533-position model. The record is from RNAcentral.
GACAGAGGAUGCAAGCGUUAUCCGGAAUGAUUGGGCGUAAAGAGCUCGUAGGCGGUCUGUCGCGUCUGCUGUGAAAACUCGGGGCUUAACCCCGGGCCUGCAGUGGGUACGGGCAGACUAGAGUGCGGUAGGGGAGACUGGAAUUCCUGGUGUAGCGGUGAAAUGCGCAGAUAUCAGGAGGAACACCGGUGGCGAAGGCGGGUCUCUGGGCCGUAACUGACGCUGAGGAGCGAAAGCGUGGGGAGCGAACAGG